GAUGGGGAAGCACAGUAGUUUAGAGCAUCCACCUGGGAUGUGGGAGACCUGGGUUCAAACCCCACUCUGCCU
RNAcentral lists this transfer RNA (72 nucleotides) under Chelonia mydas (Green sea turtle). It matches the Rfam family "tRNA". From Rfam's summary of the family: Transfer RNA (tRNA) molecules are approximately 80 nucleotides in length. Their secondary structure includes four short double-helical elements and three loops (D, anti-codon, and T loops). Further hydrogen bonds mediate the characteristic L-shaped molecular structure. tRNAs have two regions of fundamental functional importance: the anti-codon, which is responsible for specific mRNA codon recognition, and the 3' end, to which the tRNAs corresponding amino acid is attached (by aminoacyl-tRNA synthetases). tRNAs cope with the degeneracy of the genetic code in two manners: having more than one tRNA (with a specific anti-codon) for a particular amino acid; and 'wobble' base-pairing, i.e. permitting non-standard base-pairing at the 3rd anti-codon position. Lineage: Eukaryota; Metazoa; Chordata; Testudines; Cheloniidae. The record is from Rfam by way of RNAcentral.